Oncorhynchus mykiss (rainbow trout) is the source of this 2127-nucleotide non-coding RNA. NCBI's taxonomy places the organism in Eukaryota, Metazoa, Chordata, Actinopteri, Salmoniformes, Salmonidae. The record is from RefSeq and is a predicted model, not a curated record.
GAAAAGGAGGAGGAGGUAGAGGAGAAGUGAAAGGUACCAGACACAGGGAGUUUAUCUUAGCCCAGGGAGGCAGUGAUACCGGAGGGGAUACCAGAGGAGAGUGAUUUCAGAGGGAGUGAUACCAGAGGAGAGUGAUACCAGAGGGGAGUGAUAUUGGAGGGGAGCGAUACCAGAGGAGAGUGAUACCAGAGGGGAGUGAUACCAGAGGGGAGUGAUACCAGAGGGGAGUGAUACCAGAGUGGAGUUAUACCAAAGGGGAGUGAUACCAGAGGGGAGUGAUACCAGAGGAGAGUGAUACCAGAGGAGAGUGAUACCAGAGUGGAGUGAUACCAGAAGAGAGUGAUACCAGAGGAGAGUGAUACCAGAGUGGAGUGAUACCAGAGAGGAGUGAUACCAAUGGGAAGUGAUACCAGAGGGGAGUGAUACCAGAGGAGAGUGAUACCAGAGGAGAGUGAUACCAGAGGAGAGUGAUACCAGAGGAGAGUGAUACCAGAGUGGAGUGAUACCAGAGAGGAGUGAUACCAAUGGGGAGUGAUACCAGAGGAGAGUGAUACCAGAGGGAAGUGAUACCAGAGGGGAGACCCAGAGCUGAGGGAUCAGCUGACCUGACCGGGCUGGUCAGGUCAAACGAGAAGCUUUUCAUUACUACACACACAGACAGAGUGCAUGCGUUACGUGGCGUUACGAGUCUCCUUGGAUGAGCACGUUGCUGAGACACAGCGCUGAGAGACAGAGGAUGCAGCUGGGAGCAUGAGUCCUGACGGAGAGGAGUAUGACAUGUUCUGUCAGAAAGCUGUGACCCUGAUUGUUGACCUCUGCCUCCAGAACAAGCAGCUAUUGGACCAGGACACUUGCCAGGACUUCCUGUUUCUGCUGUCCAACCAAAACUCGGACCACAAGGAACCAGAGUCUGAUCCCAUCAACAUCUGCAGUGGCAUCAACAUCAAGCUCAGCACCAGGAAGUAGGACUCAUCCUGCUGCUGAUGACCUGGACACCAACUAUAGUAGUACAGAUCCUGUAGACCCAUUGGAUUAAUGUUUUCAGACGAGAACAAGCUCAUCAUCAUCUGACUGGGAAGAGGAAUAGACUGCACAGCGCUGGCAAGAGCCAAAGUGUAUAGUCUAUGUCCAAGGUCAUGGAGCUCAUGAAGUUCUGCCAGACCAGUUGCCGUUGCCCAACACAAGACGAGGUUGACACCAGCUUUAGUAGUUCAGAUACUGUAGACUUAUUCAGGACCCUGCCUGGAACAUUCAGCCAGCACAACAUCCAUAUUCAGUUGUUGUAGUAUAAUAUAGAAUGGCUACUAUGCUCACAGCUGCAUUGUAGUAUAGAUGUUGCUAGCUCUUGUACAUAUGUUUUUAAUUAAGUUUAUAUCAAAUGUUUUAUAUAAUAUGUUUUACAUGAGUACUGACAAGUGACUAAAUGAUUGCAGCUGCAUCAGAAAACAAUAAAGUAUUGACUUCAACUUCUGGAUCAAUUGUGAUAUUCAUUUAAUGUAUUUGGAAGUAACUAGCUACAAUCUUACUGCUAAAACAAAUGACGCAGGGAGUUGGUGCGUCAUUUUGACUUUAAUUUGUUGGCAAGUAAACAUGCUUCAAAAUAACAGUUGAUUGGUCUGUCAAUGUCGCAAAUAAGUAGACAUGGCUUUUAUUCAAGGCAACAUUUAUUUGCUCUGGAGACAGAGGUGAGUUUACACAGCAGUAUGCAGGAAAGGUUAUGGCAAUGUAUGACAUAUAUAUACAGUAGAACAAAAUAUACUACUCACGUCUAUAAUAAAUACUACAGCUCUUCAAAAGGAAUACAUGCAUAUGGUGUGUUUUUGGGGUGCAGUGAGGUGUUCAGAGUCCCUUUGAUACAACAGGGUAUUGUUAUUAUGGACCUUUUACAUCUCCUCUUGAAUUGCUCAAAUGUGACCGACUGCCUUGAUCAUGUAGCAACAUUUGAAAUUGUGUUUUUUACAUUGGAUAAAAGCAGAGACACAGAGUUAAAAUGUUUUAUAUCAUACAAUGCAUUUGAGGAACAAUGGGAAAGUAAUUCUGCUCCCGGGUGGCGGAGUGGUCUAAGGCAUCGCAUCUCAGUGCUAAAGGUGUCACUACAGACCCUGGUUUGAUUCCAUGCUGUAUCAC